This 253-nucleotide non-coding RNA is filed under the name uncultured bacterium. RNAcentral's name for it is "partial 16S ribosomal RNA". It matches the Rfam family "Bacterial small subunit ribosomal RNA", at positions 524 to 776 of the family's 1533-position model. The record is from RNAcentral. RNAcentral also lists the same sequence under 1 other name.
UACGGAGGGUGCAAGCGUUGUCCGGAUUUAUUGGGUUUAAAGGGUGCGUAGGCGGCUAUUUAAGUCAGUGGUGAAAUCCAUCAGCUCAACUGAUGAACUGCCAUUGAUACUGGAUAGCUUGAGUACAGACGAGGUAGGCGGAAUUGACAGUGUAGCGGUGAAAUGCAUAGAUAUUGUCAAGAACACCGAUUGCGAAGGCAGCUUACUAGGCUGUAACUGACGCUGAGGCACGAAAGUGCGGGGAUCAAACAGG